Molecule: ribosomal RNA, 1343 nt
Filed under: uncultured bacterium
Lineage: Bacteria
Description: 16S ribosomal RNA
Rfam family: Bacterial small subunit ribosomal RNA
Source: RNAcentral
GACGAACGCUGGCGGCGUGCUUAACACAUGCAAGUCGAACGGAAAGGCCCUGCUUUUGUGGGGUGCUCGAGUGGCGAACGGGUGAGUAACACGUGAGUAACCUGCCCUUGACUUUGGGAUAACUUCAGGAAACUGGGGCUAAUACCGGAUAGGAGCUCCUGCUGCAUGGUGGGGGUUGGAAAGUUUCGGCGGUUGGGGAUGGACUCGCGGCUUAUCAGCUUGUUGGUGGGGUAGUGGCUUACCAAGGCUUUGACGGGUAGCCGGCCUGAGAGGGUGACCGGCCACAUUGGGACUGAGAUACGGCCCAGACUCCUACGGGAGGCAGCAGUGGGGAAUAUUGCACAAUGGGCGGAAGCCUGAUGCAGCAACGCCGCGUGCGGGAUGACGGCCUUCGGGUUGUAAACCGCUUUCGCCUGUGACGAAGCGUGAGUGACGGUAAUGGGUAAAGAAGCACCGGCUAACUACGUGCCAGCAGCCGCGGUGAUACGUAGGGUGCGAGCGUUGUCCGGAUUUAUUGGGCGUAAAGGGCUCGUAGGUGGUUGAUCGCGUCGGAAGUGUAAUCUUGGGGCUUAACCCUGAGCGUGCUUUCGAUACGGGUUGACUUGAGGAAGGUAGGGGAGAAUGGAAUUCCUGGUGGAGCGGUGGAAUGCGCAGAUAUCAGGAGGAACACCAGUGGCGAAGGCGGUUCUCUGGGCCUUUCCUGACGCUGAGGAGCGAAGGCGUGGGGAGCGAACAGGCUUAGAUACCCUGGUAGUCCACGCUGUAAACGGUGGGUACUAGGUGUGGGGUCCAUUCCACGGGUUCCGUGCCGUAGCUAACGCUUUAAGUACCCCGCCUGGGGAGUACGGCCGCAAGGCUAAAACUCAAAGGAAUUGACGGGGCCCCGCACAAGCGGCGGAGCAUGCGGAUUAAUUCGAUGCAACGCGUAGAACCUUACCUGGGUUUGACAUGGAUCGGGAGCGCUCAGAGAUGGGUGUGCCUCUUUUGGGGUCGGUUCACAGGUGGUGCAUGGCUGUCGUCAGCUCGUGUCGUGAGAUGCUGGGUUAAGUCCCGCAACGAGCGCAACCCUUGUUCACUGUUGCCAGCACGUUAUGGUGGGGACUCAGUGGAGACCGCCGGGGUCAACUCGGAGGAAGGUGGGGAUGACGUCAAGUCAUCAUGCCCCUUAUGUCCAGGGCUUCACGCAUGCUACAAUGGCUGGUACAGAGAGUGGCGAGCCUGUGAGGGUGAGCGAAUCUCGGAAAGCCGGUCUCAGUUCGGAUUGGGGUCUGCAACUCGACCUCAUGAAGUCGGAGUCGCUAGUAAUCGCAGAUCAGCAACGCUGCGGUGAAUACGUUCCCGGG